This 467-nucleotide ribosomal RNA is filed under the name uncultured bacterium. RNAcentral describes it as "partial 16S ribosomal RNA". It matches the Rfam family "Bacterial small subunit ribosomal RNA", at positions 29 to 507 of the family's 1533-position model. The record is from RNAcentral.
ACGCACGCUGGCGGCGUGCUUAACCCAUGCAAGUCGAACGGAAAGGCCCUGCUUUUGUGGGGUGCUCGAGUGGCGAACGGGUGAGUAACACGUGAGUAACCUGCCCUUGACUUUGGGAUAACUUCAGGAAACUGGGGCUAAUACCGGAUAGGAGCUCCUGCUGCAUGGUGGGGGUUGGAAAGUUUCGGCGGUUGGGGAUGGACUCGCGGCUUAUCAGCUUGUUGGUGGGGUAGUGGCUUACCAAGGCUUUGACGGGUAGCCGGCCUGAGAGGGUGACCGGCCACAUUGGGACUGAGAUACGGCCCAGACUCCUACGGGAGGCAGCAGUGGGGAAUAUUGCACAAUGGGCGGAAGCCUGAUGCAGCAACGCCGCGUGCGGGAUGACGGCCUUCGGGUUGUAAACCGCUUUCGCCUGUGACGAAGCGUGAGUGACGGUAACGGGUAAAGAAGCACCGGCUAACUACGUG